UACAGAGGGUGCAAGCGUUAAUCGGAAUUAUUGGGCGUAAAGCGCAUGUAGGUGGUUGUGUAAGUUUGAUGUGAAAGCCCUGGGCUUAACCUGGGAAUGGCGUUGAAUACUGCACAACUUGAGUCGGACAGAGGGCGGUGGAAUUUCCGGUGUAGCGGUGAAAUGCGUAGAGAUCGGAAAGAACAUCGGUGGCGAAGGCGGCCGCCUGGGUCCAGACUGACACUGAGGUGCGAAAGCGUGGGGAGCAAACAGG
Molecule: ribosomal RNA, 253 nt
Filed under: uncultured bacterium
Lineage: Bacteria
Description: partial 16S ribosomal RNA
Rfam family: Bacterial small subunit ribosomal RNA
Source: RNAcentral